This is a long non-coding RNA of Nyctereutes procyonoides (raccoon dog), 1654 nucleotides long. RefSeq lists it as uncharacterized. The record is from RefSeq and is a predicted model, not a curated record. Lineage: Eukaryota; Metazoa; Chordata; Mammalia; Carnivora; Canidae. The transcript has 4 exons.
GGGUAAGGGGUGGGAGGCGAACUAGAGGGAGGAAUGGACAACUUUAGCAUCCAGCAGAGGCUGGGCCUGCCAAGGCGGGUUGGGGUUGGUGGCGUAUAGAAUCUGGACCAGGUGUUCAGGAGGGUCAAGGCCAAUUCUCAGCUCCUUACUUGGAAUUUCUGCAGAGAAAGAAACACAGCAGAAAGGAGGCCUGUGUUUCAGCUGAGCCUCAUAGGCCUCUCGCUGGAGGUGCUGGUGGUGGGUAUGAUGCACUUUUUUUACCCUUUAGGUGAAGGCACUUGCCUGAAGCCGCUCAAGUGGUGGGUGGGGUUAGUGGAGCCAGGCUCCUGGUGCCCGGUCCACAGCUGACCCCCUUGCCUUCCUCUCCUCCCUGCUGCACGAUGCCUUCCACAGCUCAGGACCUGCCCCCGGUGUGUGAGUGUGGGCUGCUUUCCAGUGUGCAUGUGUGGGACGGUUUUCCAGCAUACGUGUGCUUGACAGUGUGGGUGUACGCAUGUUAUGCCAGCGAGUGCGCUCGACUGCCCUUUUACAAAUUCCAUACCCAGGUGCAGUGUGCUAUCACCAGCCCCCUCUGCGACUCUCCUGACAUUUCAAGAUCCCUCUCAUGGUCCCUCCUUCUUGUCUCAGGGUCAAGAUCCGUAGCGGAUGGUGAAAGUCGUCCCGUUCUCCAUGUAGCUGGAGGAUUCCGAGGAGUCAUAGAGGCAGUGAAUCUCUGGCAGAGGGACAUAGGUUCAGGGAUGAGGAAAAGAUUCUGGUCCCAGCAAGCACUCACCAAGGGGUCACUGACUAAGGAAAGGGGUAGAAGACGCCCAGUGCCUGUGAGAGCAUCCCCAGGGCUCCCCUGUGAAGGCUCUUUGUGGAAGCCUGGAGGGAGGUGUCCCUAGCUGUCGGCCAGGAGGCCCCAGGAUUGCGGCCCGGUUGAUGGAGAACCAGUCUUCCGUUCCAGAUGCGGGUCCACCUCUACUGUCCUUUCCCGCUCACACCCGGCACUCCCGGACCCCAUGAUGCCCACGGGCCAAAAUGCAGCUUUCCUGCCAGCCAGCGCCACCACAUCUCAAUGGAAAUGACUUGUCACAGUCAUGUCACCAUUUACUGUUCACAAAGCAGUUCCACAGUUAUGAUCUUGUUCUCAGCCAUCCCACAGGGUGGGUGAUUCUUCCCAUUUUACAGAUGGGAAACAUGGAGGAACAGAGAAGGCCUGAUCCCAAGGAGGGUGCAUUCUCUACCAUCUACCCUGAACAGCCUCCGCUCUGGACCUUUACUUUUCCCAUUCUCCUUUCAAAAGUCCCUUCCCCUCCACACCCCACCUUUGCUUGGGCUCCUGCUUCAUUUUUCCUGGGGCACUCACAGCCAGCGCUGCACAGCCUAACGUUUAUGGUUCAUGGCGGUGGUGGUGUCUGGUGGUGAGGACAGUAGUUGUGAGCGCACGCUAAGACCCCUUAUUACUGUGUGAUUCUGGUCAGCUUACCUACCCCUCUGGGCCUUUCGCGAGCCCCCCCCCCAUUAACUCCUCUAUAAAAAGGGAUGAAACAUGGGCACCUGGGGGGCUCAGUGGUUGAGCAUCUGCCUUCAGCUCAGGGCAUGACCCCGGGGUCCCCCGGAUUGGGCUCCCCGCAGGGAGCCUGCUUCUCCCUCUGCCUGUGUCUCUGCCUCU